GUGGGGAAUUUUGGACAAUGGGCGAAAGCCUGAUCCAGCAAUGCCGCGUGUGUGAAGAAGGCCUUCGGGUUGUAAAGCACUUUUGGCAGGGAAGAAACAGUGCGUGCUAAUACCAUGCGCGAAUGACGGUACCUGCAGAAUAAGCACCGGCUAACUACGUGCCAGCAGCCGCGGUAAUACGUAGGGUGCAAGCGUUAAUCGGAAUUACUGUGCGUAAAGCGUGCGCAGGCGGCUUUGUAAGACGGAUGUGAAAGCCCCGGGCUCAACCUGGGAAGUGCAAUCGUGACUGCAAGGCUAGAGUGUGUCAGAGGGAGGUGGAAUUCCGCGUGUAGCAGUGAGAUGCGUAGAGAUGCGGAGGAACACCGAUGGCGAAGGCAGCCUCCUGGGAUAACACUGACGCUCAGGCACGAAAGCGUGGGGAGCAAACAGGAUUAGAAACCCCAGUAGUCC
RNAcentral lists this ribosomal RNA (450 nucleotides) under uncultured bacterium. Its description in RNAcentral is "partial 16S ribosomal RNA". It matches the Rfam family "Bacterial small subunit ribosomal RNA", at positions 354 to 796 of the family's 1533-position model. The record is from RNAcentral.